Molecule: long non-coding RNA, 372 nt
Organism: Gordionus sp. m RMFG-2023
Lineage: Eukaryota; Metazoa; Nematomorpha; Gordioida; Chordodea; Parachordodidae
Exons: 3
Source: RefSeq, a predicted model, not a curated record
CAUUUUAUUGAUAAUAUUAAAGAUUCAAUAUUUAUUUACGACAAAACAGAUGAAAAUUACAAAGAUGUACAUUAAAAAACCGAAUAUUUAGAAAAAUUUAGGAUUGCAAUUUGGUCAAUCAGGUGACGAUUUAAAAGCUAAAUGGAAUAAUUUAAAAGACUAUCAGAAUAAAGAAUACGAAAAAACAGUAAAUAGUCCAAGUGGUUCAGCUGGGCCACCAUAUAAAUCAACGUGGCCUUAUUAUGAAACAUUAUCAUUUUUAAAUAAAACUUUAACACCUCGGAUACAACAAUCAAAUGAAAAUAUAACAACAUUGAAUAAAAGAAGAAGAAAAAUAUUUGAAAAAAUACUAUUGAGAAGGAUAAAAAGGAG